RNAcentral lists this transfer RNA (38 nucleotides) under Cercopithecus pogonias grayi. Its description in RNAcentral is "partial tRNA-Leu". The record is from RNAcentral. Lineage: Eukaryota; Metazoa; Chordata; Mammalia; Primates; Cercopithecidae.
ACUUUUAAAGGAUGGUAGCUAUCCAUUGGCCUUAGGAG